This 811-nucleotide ribosomal RNA is filed under the name Bacillus siamensis. Its description in RNAcentral is "bacterial SSU rRNA". It matches the Rfam family "Bacterial small subunit ribosomal RNA", at positions 96 to 891 of the family's 1533-position model. The record is from RNAcentral. Lineage: Bacteria; Bacillati; Bacillota; Bacilli; Caryophanales; Bacillaceae.
CGGCGGACGGGUGAGUAACACGUGGGUAACCUGCCUGUAAGACUGGGAUAACUCCGGGAAACCGGGGCUAAUACCGGAUGGUUGUCUGAACCGCAUGGUUCAGACAUAAAAGGUGGCUUCGGCUACCACUUACAGAUGGACCCGCGGCGCAUUAGCUAGUUGGUGAGGUAACGGCUCACCAAGGCGACGAUGCGUAGCCGACCUGAGAGGGUGAUCGGCCACACUGGGACUGAGACACGGCCCAGACUCCUACGGGAGGCAGCAGUAGGGAAUCUUCCGCAAUGGACGAAAGUCUGACGGAGCAACGCCGCGUGAGUGAUGAAGGUUUUCGGAUCGUAAAGCUCUGUUGUUAGGGAAGAACAAGUGCCGUUCAAAUAGGGCGGCACCUUGACGGUACCUAACCAGAAAGCCACGGCUAACUACGUGCCAGCAGCCGCGGUAAUACGUAGGUGGCAAGCGUUGUCCGGAAUUAUUGGGCGUAAAGGGCUCGCAGGCGGUUUCUUAAGUCUGAUGUGAAAGCCCCCGGCUCAACCGGGGAGGGUCAUUGGAAACUGGGGAACUUGAGUGCAGAAGAGGAGAGUGGAAUUCCACGUGUAGCGGUGAAAUGCGUAGAGAUGUGGAGGAACACCAGUGGCGAAGGCGACUCUCUGGUCUGUAACUGACGCUGAGGAGCGAAAGCGUGGGGAGCGAACAGGAUUACAUACCCUGGUAGUCCACGCCGUAAACGAUGAGUGCUAAGUGUUAGGGGGUUUCCGCCCCUUAGUGCUGCACCUAACGCAUUAAGCACUCCGCCUGGGGAGUACGGUCGCAA